Molecule: long non-coding RNA, 932 nt
Organism: Ornithodoros turicata
Lineage: Eukaryota; Metazoa; Arthropoda; Arachnida; Ixodida; Argasidae
Exons: 5
Source: RefSeq, a predicted model, not a curated record
AGACAAUCAAUAUGGCAUCGAAAGGCAGCCCUGCCGCGUCCUCGCUGUGUGCUGGAUAGAAGAAGAAACUGCGGUUGCGGACCAAAUUUCGUGUUACAGCGUUGAAGACGACGAAUGCGUUGGGGGAACCAGGACGAGCCGUAACACGCGGGCGAGCAGUAUCUGCUCGAAAUGGAGGACACGAGUUGCAGUGCAGGACACCGACUUUUACUUGGUGUGUGUGAGUGUGUGCCUGUGUUAACAUCAACCAAGGAACUGCUCUGACACUAUUCGUGAGAAAAGAACGAGGCGCACUGCAAAGCAGCUAGCAAGAAGGUGUGCAGAAAAAGGAAAACCAGGUGCUGAACUGUCAGCUGGACACCUCGGAGAACACAAUCAGUGCAGCCAGGAUUGUAAACACAUUGCAGAGCUCUCCUGUCUAAAGUUCAGCGAAGGCGCAGGAGGUCAUUUCGUGUGACAAAGUCUGACCUACGUGUAAGCAAAUAUUUUGUGUGAGAUAGUAUAGAACCACCAGACGACUACUUAAUUAAAAUACAUUGAUUAAAUUUUCUUAGCUGCAAUAAUUAUUUAAAUUGGAGAUUUCCGGGCAGUACUGAGAUCAGCGGAAUGUGGGGAAAUUCUUGUUGAAAGGACCACGUGACACGAAUUAUUUAUGGUCAGAUUUUUCUUUUAGAAUGCCGAAAGCAAGGCAAAACUGUGGAAGAAGUGCAGGCACUACGCUACCAUUUCUGUUCGAGAUCCAAAUCCUUCAACUAAAAUGUGCGCCAGAUUGGUGUGACAGCUGAGAGUGAUAAAUGUUGCUCUACUGGCUGCGGUCCAGUAUAUAUAGCUAUGCCAUGGGGAGUCAAACUGCAAUCAGCUCGAUUAAGGCUUCAUAUCAAAUUUUGGCAAAUUUCAUCACAACACAAGAUCAUUUGGGGUACGUGGUUGUU